GAGACACGGUCCGGACUCCUACGGGAGGCAGCAGUGGGGAAUAUUGGACAAUGGGCGCAAGCCUGAUCCAGCCAUACCGCGUGGGUGAAGAAGGCCUUCGGGUUGUAAAGCCCUUUUGUUGGGAAAGAAAUCCUGUCGAUUAAUACUCGGUGGGGAUGACGGUACCCAAAGAAUAAGCACCGGCUAACUUCGUGCCAGCAGCCGCGGUAAUACGAAGGGUGCAAGCGUUACUCGGAAUUACUGGGCGUAAAGCGUGCGCAGGCGG
This 265-nucleotide ribosomal RNA is filed under the name Anophryoides haemophila. RNAcentral describes it as "partial Bacterial small subunit ribosomal RNA". It matches the Rfam family "Bacterial small subunit ribosomal RNA", at positions 321 to 578 of the family's 1533-position model. The record is from RNAcentral. Lineage: Eukaryota; Ciliophora; Oligohymenophorea; Philasterida; Glauconematidae.